UGUGGAGGCCAGAGGAUGACUUUGU
RNAcentral lists this unclassified non-coding RNA (25 nucleotides) under Mus musculus (house mouse). Its description in RNAcentral is "oocyte_clustered_small_RNA9347". The record is from RNAcentral. Lineage: Eukaryota; Metazoa; Chordata; Mammalia; Rodentia; Muridae.